This 177-nucleotide ribosomal RNA is filed under the name uncultured bacterium. RNAcentral's name for it is "partial 16S ribosomal RNA". It matches the Rfam family "Bacterial small subunit ribosomal RNA", at positions 653 to 827 of the family's 1533-position model. The record is from RNAcentral.
AGAGGGGGGAUGGAAUUCCGCGUGUAGCAGUGAAAUGCGUAGAUAUGCGGAGGAACACCGAUGGCGAAGGCGAUCCCCUGGACCUGUACUGACGCUCAUGCACGAAAGCGUGGGGAGCAAACAGGAUUAGAUACCCCUGGUAGUCCACGCCCUAAACGAUGUCAACUGGUUGUUGGG